This 440-nucleotide ribosomal RNA is filed under the name uncultured bacterium. Its description in RNAcentral is "bacterial SSU rRNA". It matches the Rfam family "Bacterial small subunit ribosomal RNA", at positions 338 to 795 of the family's 1533-position model. The record is from RNAcentral.
CCUACGGGUGGCUGCAGUGGGGAAUAUUGCACAAUGGGGGAAACCCUGAUGCAGCAACGCCGCGUGAGCGAUGAAGGCCUUCGGGUCGUAAAGCUCUGUCCUAAGGGAAGAAUACUGACGGUACCUUAGGAGGAAGCGCCGGCUAACUACGUGCCAGCAGCCGCGGUAAUACGUAGGGGGCUAGCGUUAUCCGGAAUUACUGGGCGUAAAGGGUGCGUAGGCGGCCAUUCAAGUCGGAGGUGAAAGGCUAGGGCUCAACCGUAGUAAGCUUUUGAAACUGUAGGGCUUGAGUGCAGGAGUGGGGAGUAAAAUUCCCAGUGUUUCGUUGAAAUGCGUAGAUAUUUGGGGGAACACGAGUUGCGAAGGGGGCUCUCUGGUCUGGAACUGACGCUGAGGCAAGAAAGAGUGGGGAGCGAACAGGAUUAGAGACCCCGGUAGUC